Molecule: ribosomal RNA, 484 nt
Filed under: uncultured bacterium
Lineage: Bacteria
Description: partial 16S ribosomal RNA
Rfam family: Bacterial small subunit ribosomal RNA
Source: RNAcentral
AUUGAACGCUGGCGGCAGGCCUAACACAUGCAAGUCGAGCGGAUGAAGGGAGCUUGCUCCUGGAUUCAGCGGCGGACGGGUGAGUAAUGCCUAGGAAUCUGCCUGGUAGUGGGGGAUAACGUCCGGAAACGGGCGCUAAUACCGCAUACGUCCUGUGGGAGAAAGUGGGGGAUCUUCGGACCUCACGCUAUCAGAUGAGCCUAGGUUGGAUUAGCUAGUUGGUGGGGUAAAGGCCUACCAAGGCGACGAUCCGUAACUGGUCUGAGAGGAUGAUCAGUCACACUGGAACUGAGACACGGUCCAGACUCCUACGGGAGGCAGCAGUGGGGAAUAUUGGACGAUGGGCGAAAGCCUGAUCCAGCCAUGCCGCGUGUGUGAAGAAGGUCUUCGGAUUGUAAAGCACUUUAAGUUGGGGGGAAGGGCAGUAAGUUAAUACCUUGCUGUUUUGACGUUACCAACAGAAUAAGCACCGGCUAACUUCGUG